RNAcentral lists this ribosomal RNA (809 nucleotides) under uncultured organism. RNAcentral's name for it is "bacterial SSU rRNA". It matches the Rfam family "Bacterial small subunit ribosomal RNA", at positions 13 to 816 of the family's 1533-position model. The record is from RNAcentral.
UUGAUCCUGGCUCAGAGCGAACGCUGGCGGCGUGCCUAACACAUGCAAGUCGAGCGAGAAAGUUAGUUUACUGAACGAGUAAAGCGGCGAACGGGUGAGUAACGCGUGGAUAUCUACCUUGAAGUUUGGGAUAACAUCGGGAAACCGUUGCUAAUACCAAAUGUGGAAGCAAUUCUAAAGGGGGCCUCUUUUUAAUGCUCUCGCUUCUUGAUGAGUCCGCGUCCUAUCAGCUUGUUGGUAAGGUAAUGGCUUACCAAGGCUAAGACGGGUAGCCGGCCUGAGAGGGUGUACGGCCACAUGGGGACUGAGAUACGGCCCUGACUCCUACGGGAGGCAGCAGUGAGGAAUAUUGCACAAUGGGGGAAACCCUGAUGCAGCGACGCCGCGUGGGGGAUGAAGUCUUUCGAGACGUAAACUCCUUUUAUAUGGGAAGAAACGGUAGAUGGUUAAUACCCUUCUACUCUGACGGUACCAUUUGAAUAAGCCCCGGCUAACUACGUGCCAGCAGCCGCGGUAACACGUAGGGGGCAAGCGUUGCUCGGAUUCACUGGGUCUAAAGGGCUCGCAUGCGGAUAUUUAAGUCUUGGGUUAAAUCUAUAGGCUCAACUUGUAGUUGCCUGAGAAACUGGAUGUCUUGAGGAAGAGAGAGGAAACGGGAAUUCCCGGUGUAACGGUGGAAUGUGUAGAUAUCGGGAGGAACACCAACGGCGUAGGCAAGUUUCUGGCUCUUACCUGACGCUCAGGAGCGAAAGCGUGGGAAGCAAACAGGAUUAGAUACCCUGGUAGUCCACGCCCUAAACGAUGGGUGC